GGAUUGUGGGUCAGUGGUAGAGUGCUCCCCUAGCACGGGCGGGACCCGGGUUCGAUUUUCAGCACCA
This 67-nucleotide transfer RNA is filed under the name Marmota monax (woodchuck). RNAcentral describes it as "tRNA.Ala". The record is from RNAcentral. Lineage: Eukaryota; Metazoa; Chordata; Mammalia; Rodentia; Sciuridae.